Long non-coding RNA from Ananas comosus (pineapple), 1155 nucleotides. RefSeq lists it as uncharacterized. The transcript has 2 exons. The record is from RefSeq and is a predicted model, not a curated record. Lineage: Eukaryota; Viridiplantae; Streptophyta; Magnoliopsida; Poales; Bromeliaceae.
UGCUUUGCUUAUGUGGAUCCCUGCUUAAUAUCUAAGCAGUUUCACCCUGUAGAGAGGGGAAGAGAGAGUGAGAGAGAACCCGGGAGGGGGUGGGGCCUGCCAUGUGCGGGAGGCCCGCACCCCCCGCACGGGUAAGUAAAAACUAUAUUUCCUAGAUUUUUGGUUGCAACUAAAUCAAAAGAAGGUUGGAAAAGUUUAAAAAAAGAGUUCCAAGGCUCCGACAAAAUCAUCACUAUUAAGCUUCAAUUAUUAUGGUGUGAGUUUGAUAAUUUAGCCAUGAAAGAUAAUGAAAAUAUAAAAGAUUUUUCCUCUAGAGUUGCCGGGAGUAUAAAUCAAAUAAGAAGUUAUGGAUAUAGAAUUGAAGAGAAAAAGAUAGUUGAGAAAAUUCUAAGAAGUUUACCAGCUAAAUUUGAUCAUAUUGUCGCAACAAUCAAAGAAUCAAAAGCUUUAUCUAUUUUUACUUUGCAUGAACUGAUGGGUUCUCUUGAGGUACAUGCACAAAGAAUGAGUAGGCUUACAUAUCAAAAUGAAAUAUAGAGCAAGCAUUUCAAUCCAAACUUACAAUCAAAGAAAGGAAAGCAACAAGUGUGGAGAGAGAUGGCAAAGAUAGAAGACAAUUCCAAAGGAGAAAUCAAGAUAAUUGGUCUCGUGGCAAAGGUAAAGGCCGAAGUGGACAACCAACUCAAAGAAAUGAUAUCUUGGGGCAAUUCAGAAUUCAGAGGAGGCAGUUGCUCUUGAAUUUGGCAAUGUUGUGAUGACCUUCUCCUUAAAUGUCAGAUGGCUUCAAUAAUUAAAAGCAUAGUGUACUUUAGAUGGCCUAUAGUGGUGCAUGGAAAUCAGGGGUGGAGGUUUAUUACUUGCAUGUGGCUGCGCGCGGGUAUUAUCCAUAUUAUUGCGAACAUGACAUGUCUCAUUAUCAUUGGACGCCUUGAGCGGCGGUUCGGAUUUUGUAAGCUUCGCUCUAUCAAUUGAAACAGUUCUAGAUAAGCUGAAACUAUCUGUUCUCUUUGCUUCAUUCUACUUCAAUAACUGUUUUUGGGGGGUUAUUUACCUGGUUUGAUUAUUUAACUUUUCAAUAUAUAUUACAUAUGUUGGCUAAUCGAUCACCGAUCACUCUUUCGUAGUAAGAAUUGGAAGCUCACUUUCAUUGUUUUA